RNAcentral lists this ribosomal RNA (514 nucleotides) under uncultured bacterium. Its description in RNAcentral is "bacterial SSU rRNA". It matches the Rfam family "Bacterial small subunit ribosomal RNA", at positions 126 to 674 of the family's 1533-position model. The record is from RNAcentral.
CUGCCCUUGGGUUCGGAAUAACAGUUAGAAAUGACUGCUAAUACCGGAUGAUGUCUUCGGACCAAAGAUUUAUCGCCCAGGGAUGAGCCCGCGUAGGAUUAGGUAGUUGGUGGGGUAAAAGCCUACCAAGCCGACGAUCCUUAGCUGGUCUGAGAGGAUGAUCAGCCACACUGGGACUGAGACACGGCCCAGACUCCUACGGGAGGCAGCAGUGGGGAAUAUUGGACAAUGGGCGAAAGCCUGAUCCAGCAAUGCCGCGUGAGUGAUGAAGGCCUUAGGGUUGUAAAGCUCUUUUACCCGGGAUGAUAAUGACAGUACCGGGAGAAUAAGCUCCGGCUAACUUCGUGCCAGCAGCCGCGGUAAUACGAGGGGAGCUAGCGUUAUUCGGAAUUACUGGGCGUAAAGCGCACGUAGGCGGCUUUGUAAGUAAGGGGUGAAAGCCCAGAGCUCAACUCUGGAAUAGCCUUUUAGACUGCAUCGCUUGAAUCCAGGAGAGGUGAGUGGAAUUCCGAGU